RNAcentral lists this long non-coding RNA (1509 nucleotides) under Serinus canaria (Common canary). Its description in RNAcentral is "lncRNA (ENSSCAG00000003696.1)". Lineage: Eukaryota; Metazoa; Chordata; Aves; Passeriformes; Fringillidae. The record is from RNAcentral.
CAACAAAGCAGACAGUCAUCAUACAAAAGUAACCUCUUCAAACAAACCCUGUGUCACCCAGCUUCCUGGGGAAUUUUGUGUAGGAAUCAAUUUUUCUUUUUCUCCUUGUACCACAUAUUGCCAUAGUCUCAUCUUCAAGAAUGAUCAGAGGCCUAUAAAAUAUGAUCUGAGGGAGAAGAUUGAAAGAAUUGGGGUUGUUUAGUCUGAAGAAAAGGAAGGUGUUGGGAAAAAUGGUAAUGAUCUUUCAAACAUAUAAAAUUUUUCUCUGCAGACAGAAGGAAUCAGUUUUUCUCUAUGUUUAGUGGGUCUAGGACAAAAGGUGAUGGACUUGGAGAUUUAAAAUAGAUAUUAGGAAAUUAUUUCAAACUGCAAAUGUAGUUUGGCAGUGGAAAUGAUUAUCUGGGAAUCACAUUUGCUGAAGGCUUUGAAAGGCAGAUUAGGUCACAUGUCUCAGGAAUGGUUUUAGUUGCAGUAGAUUAUAUGGAGAUGACCCCAAAAGGUUCCUGGCUGGUUUAUUAGGUUUUGUUUCUCUCAGGUGAUUUACAGCAGAUGCUUCACUGCUGUGUUAUUCUGAUUCUCACUCUUCCUUAUAUCCUCAGAAAAUGCCAGGAAGAAAAGAUGUCAGUAGGUAAAAAACUGGGUAACUGUAGGUCUUCUGCAAUAUCAGAGUGAUAAAAUGGCACUUGGAUAGAUUCAUGAGAACCUAGGGAGUAGGACCUGUCAGCUCUGGUUGACAGCUCUGCCCAAGCCCAAGAUCACCUAGUCUUUGUCAUUCCUUGCCAGAAAACUGUUGAAACUGUUUCUGGAUACUGAGUGAUGGCUACAGAUGAUUAUUCUGAAGGGUACUGUUCUGCACUUCCUGUUGAAGCUCUGGUCUGUGACAGCUUAGCUGCCUGGACUGCAGCAGACAAGUUACUGGAGACUGAACAGAAGGAAUGUGAGAAGGAGCCAUUGAAGAUUUUGUACUAAAAGUAUCAGGUGGUUGUGAAUGACUGCCCUUGGGAAAUUCACUUUAUCCUCUGGCCAGAAAUGUUUCUUCUUAACAUUUAGUUUUGCUUUUUGAUUAGUCUGUGUUUGUACAGCCUCCUCUUGGAGGGACAGGCUGGAAAUUUGUACCAGUAUUUGCUUUUGCAUGCUCAAACACUACUGUGCUUCCUGAAAAAAAAUUCUAGAAAACAACUAUAUCAUGCAGAAAACAGAAAUUAUCAUAAAUUAAACCUCUGACAGUAAAAGGAAUACAAGAAGGUAAUUGUACAAUUCCUUAGUCUGUUCUGAUUUUGGUUGUGUGGAAAUUCCUAUAAGACAUGAAAAUCUUGCUUGCUUACUUACAUGACAAAAGAGGAAAAAGGCCUUUUUUUUUUUUAGCAGAACAUACUGUUUAAACAAACACCACAGUGAACCAAGACAGCUAAAGGUACUGUAAGUCUGUAAUUUUUUUAUUUUUUAUAAUGUUUAGAAAUUUUUGUGUCUAAGAAUAAAUUAUUCUUCUUUUCAUUUAUUGUGAAGUGC